GCAGGUGCUCCAGUUACUGAGUCACCACAACCUUCUCAAGAAUUUUAGAGAUAAAAGGAAGGUUGGAUAUCAGCCUAUAAUUUGCUAAUAUGUCAGGAUCCAGUGAUGGUUUUUUAAGCAACAGCAUAAUCACUGCCAACAUUUACCUUAAAUAAAUUCUUCACCAACUUUGAAUUAACACAGAAAAUUUGAAUUAAAAAUUCAACAGCAGUCAGUGUCUUAUGGUAGGUGGUUGCAAACUGUAAAAAAAAAAUAAAAAAAUCCUAACCCCCAAAAAUUAUAUCGAUAGAUAUAUGAGUAAAUAUUUUAAAUUAAAAUUGGAAGUGCCUGAAAUCAGAAUUACAUUUCUUAAACGGGAACUUCAGAUAAUAGUGAAUGACUGCAAAAAACUCUAGAAAUCUAAAUAUUAUAUUCCACCUUUUUUAGUUGUUCAUUUCUUGGUGACGGUACAGUCAAAAAAAAAAACAACAAGCAGUCAAACAUCAAGUUCAACAACAACAAGUCCAUCCACAACUUCUGCAACUACAUCGUCACCAACCACAUCAGCAACAACCAGUCAAAUAUCAAGUUCAACAUCAACAAGUCCAUCCACAACUUUUGCAACUACAUCGUCACCAACCACAUCAGCAACAACCAGUCAAAUAUCAAGUUCAACAUCAACAAGUCCAUCCACAACUUCUGCAACUACAUCGUCACCAACAUCAGCAACAAGCAGUCCAUCCACAACUUCUGCAACUACAUCAUCACCAACCACAUCAGUAACAACCAGUCAAACAUCAAGUUCAACAACAAGUCCAUCCACAACUUCUGCGACUACAUCGUCACCAACAACAUCAGCAACAAGCAGUCAAACAUCAAGUUCAACAGCAAGUCCAUCCACAACUUCUGCAACUACAUCAUCACCAACCACAUCAGCAACAACCAGUCAAACAUCAAGUUCAACAUCAACAAGUCCAUCCACAACUUCUGCAACUACAUCAUCACCAACCACAUCAGCCACAACCAGUCAAACAUCAAUUACAACAGCAACAAGUCCCUCCACAACUUCUGCAUCUACAUCGUCACCAACCACAUCAGCAACAACCAGUCAAAUAUCAAGUUCAACAUCAACAAGUCCAUCCACAACUUUUGCAACUACAUCGUCACCAACCACAUCAGCAACAACCAGUCAAAUAUCAAGUUCAACAUCAACAAGUCCAUCCACAACUUCUGCAACUACAUCGUCACCAACAUCAGCAACAAGCAGUCAAACAUCAAGUUCAACAACAACAAGUCCAUCCACAACUUCUGCAACUACAUCAUCACCAACCACAUCAGCAACAACCAGUCAAACAUCAAGUUCAACAACAAGUCCAUCCACAACUUCUGCGACUACAUCGUCACCAACAACAUCAGCAACAAGCAGUCAAAUAUCAAGUUCAACAUCAACAAGUCCAUCCACAACUUCUGCAACUACAUCGUCACCAACAUCAGCAACAACCAGUCCAUCCACAACUUCUGCAACUACAUCAUCACCAACCACAUCAGCAACAACCAGUCAAACAUCAAGUUCAACAUCAACAAGUCCAUCCACAACUUCUGCAACUACGUCAUCACCAACCACAUCAGCCACAACCAGUCAAACAUCAAUUACAACAGCAACAAGUCCCUCCACAACUUCUGCAUCUACAUCGUCACCAACCACAUCAGCAACAACCAGUCAAAUAUCAAGUUCAACAUCAACAAGUCCAUCCACAACUUCUGCAACUACAUCGUCACCAACAUCAGCAACAAGCAGUCAAACAUCAAGUUCAACAACAACAAGUCAAUCCACAACUUCUGCAACUACAUCAUCACCAACCACAUCAGCAACAACCAGUCAAACAUCAAGUUCAACAACAAGUCCAUCCACAACUUCUGCGACUACAUCGUCACCAACCACAUCAGCCACAACCAGUCAAACAUCAAUUACAACAGCAACAAGUCCCUCCACAACUUCUGCAUCUACAUCAUCACCAACCACAUCAGCAACAACCAGUCAAACAUCAAGUUCAACAUCAACAAGUCCAUCCACAACUUCUGCAACUACAUCGUCACCAACCACAUCAGCCACAACCAGUCAAACAACUAGUUCAACAUCCACAACUUCUGCAACUACAUCGUCACCAACCACAUCAGCCACAACCAGUCAAACAUCAAGUACAACAGCAACAAGUCCCUCCACAACUUCUGCAUCUACAUCAUCACCAACCACAUCAGCAACAACCAGUCAAACAUCAAGUUCAACAACAACAAGUCCAUCCACAUCUACUGCAACUACAUCGUCACCAACCACAUCAGCAACAACCAGUCAAACAUCAAUUUCAACAUCAACAAGUCCAUCCACAACUUCUGCAACUACAUCAUCACCAACAACAUCAGCAACAACCAGUCAAACAUCAAGUUCAACAUCAACAAGUUCAUCCACAACUUCUGCAACUACAUCGUCACCAACCAUAUCAGCAACAACCAGUCAAACAUCAAGUUCAACAUCAACAAGUCCAUCCACAACUUCUGCAACUACAUCGUCACCAACCACAUCAACAAUAACCAGUCAAACAUCAAGUUCAACAUCAACAAAUCCAUCCACAACUUCUGCAACUACAUCGUCACCAACCACAUCAGCAACAACCAGUCAAACAUCAAGUUCAACAACAAGUCCAUCCACAACUUCUGCAACUACAUCGUCACCAACCACAUCAGCAACAACCAGUCAAACAUCAAGUUCAACAACAAGUCCAUCCACAACUUCUGCAACUACAUCAUCACCAACCACAUCAGUAACAACCAGUCAAACAUCUAGUUCAACAUCCACAAGUCCAUCCACAACAUCUGCAACUACAUCAGCAACAACCACAUCAGCAACUGCAGGUGUUCAGCCAAUCUAUAUUGUUUCAGCAACUUUACCUCAAGAGACUUUUCGAGAAGAACUCACUAACCCAAACAGCACAACAUACAAAGAACUUGAAAGUCGAGUAAUAGACACGUGUACACCUAUCUACACAAGAAAAUAUGGAAAGAGAUUUGUCCGCUGCUUUGUGAAACAAUUCCGCCGUGCUGUGCGUCUACAAGUACGAGAAGAUGCAACUGCAGCUGAUAUUGGGGUUGUGCUCCGCAACAAUUCAUCUUCUGUCACCAACAUCAGCAACAAGCAGUCAAACAUCAAGUUCAACAACAACAAGUCCAUCCACAACUUCUGCAACUACAUCAUCACCAACCACAUCAGCAACAACCAGUCAAACAUCAAGUUCAACAACAAGUCCAUCCACAACUUCUGCGACUACAUCGUCACCAACCACAUCAGCCACAACCAGUCAAACAUCAAUUACAACAGCAACAAGUCCCUCCACAACUUCUGCAACUACAUCGUCACCAACCACAUCAGCAACUUCAGGUGUUGAGCCAAUCUAUAUUGUUUCAGCAACUUUACCUCAAGAGACUUUUCGAGAAGAACUCACUAACCCCAACAGCACAACAUACAAAGAACUUGAAAGUCGAGUAAUAGACACGGUAUGUUGACCUUUGUAUACAAUCCUUUCCAAUAUUGACU
RNAcentral lists this long non-coding RNA (3568 nucleotides) under Takifugu rubripes (torafugu). Its description in RNAcentral is "lncRNA (ENSTRUG00000032367.1)". Lineage: Eukaryota; Metazoa; Chordata; Actinopteri; Tetraodontiformes; Tetraodontidae. The record is from RNAcentral.